Non-coding RNA from Reticulomyxa filosa, 28 nucleotides. The record is from Rfam. NCBI's taxonomy places the organism in Eukaryota, Foraminifera, Reticulomyxidae.
GUUAACUGCCGCACAGGCAGCUUUGAAG